UCCGUAGGUGAACCUGCGGAGGGAUCAUUACACAAUAUGAAAGCGGGCUGGAUACUCUGUAGUAGUGCAUUGCUUUACGGCGUGCGCUGCUGGAGAGCCUAGCCUUGCUGAAUUAUUCACCCGUGUCUUUUGCGUACUUCUUGUUUCCUUGGUGGGCUCGCCCGCCACAAGGACAACUCAUAAACCUUUUGUAAUAGCAAUCAGCGUCAGUAACAACAUAAUAAUUACAACUUUCAACAACGGAUCUCUUGGUUCUGGCAUCGAUGAAGAACGCAGCGAAAUGCGAUAAGUAGUGUGAAUUGCAGAAUUCAGUGAAUCAUCGAAUCUUUGAACGCACAUUGCGCCCUUUGGUAUUCCUUAGGGCAUGCCUGUUCGAGCGUCAUCUAAACCUUCAAGCACUGCUUGGUGUUGGGUGCCUGUCCCGCCCCCGCGCGUGGACUCACCUCAAAUCCAUUGGCGGCCCUCACGUCGGCUUCGAGCGCAGCAGAAACGCGAACUCGUGGCUCGGCGGAGCGGGCUCCCAGGAAGGCUACUCCUCACCCAUUUUGGACCUCGGGAUCAGGGUAGGGGGAUACCCGGCUGGAACUUAAGGCAUAUCAAUAAGGCGGGGGA
This 612-nucleotide ribosomal RNA is filed under the name uncultured fungus. RNAcentral describes it as "eukaryotic LSU rRNA". The stretch from base 229 to 382 matches the Rfam family "5.8S ribosomal RNA". The record is from RNAcentral. Lineage: Eukaryota; Fungi.